Molecule: ribosomal RNA, 468 nt
Filed under: uncultured bacterium
Lineage: Bacteria
Description: partial 16S ribosomal RNA
Rfam family: Bacterial small subunit ribosomal RNA
Source: RNAcentral
GACGAACGCUGGCGGCGUGCUUAACACAUGCAAGUCGAACGGAAAGGCCCUGCUUUUGUGGGGUGCUCGAGUGGCGAACGGGUGAGUAACACGUGAGUAACCUGCCCUUGACUUUGGGAUAACUUCAGGAAACUGGGGCUAAUACCGGAUAGGAGCUCCUGCUGCAUGGUGGGGGUUGGAAAGUUUCGGCGGUUGGGGAUGGACUCGCGGCUUAUCAGCUUGUUGGUGGGGUAGUGGCUUACCAAGGCUUUGACGGGUAGCCGGCCUGAGAGGGUGACCGGCCACAUUGGGACUGAGAUACGGCCCAGAGUCCGACGGGAGGCAGCAGUGGGGAAGAUGGCACAAUGGGCGGAAGCCUGAUGCAGCAACGCCGCGUGCGGGAUGACGGCCUUCGGGUUGUAAACCGCUUUCGCCUGGGACGAAGCGUGAGUGACGGUAAUGGGUAAAGAAGCACCGGCUAACUACGUG